GAGUAUUUUAUACAGCACUGCUCCUGUGGUGCUGCCAGUGUUUUGCUCAGCUCAUACCGAGAAAUGAAGAAUUAUUUUCCUGGGUGGAGCAGACUGAACAGCCUACUUAUUCAGAACGGAAAUAUAUCUGACCUCUCUGUUAUUCCAGAAAUAGGAGGAAUUAGUGAAAAAAUCAAGCAAAGAGAGGAUCGUGUUUCAGAGAUGACAUGUGAAGAUCAUGAUGCUAAAACCUGUAAGGCAUUGUUAUAAUGCAGCCCCUGAUGGUGCAGUGGGUUAAACCCUUGUGCCGGCAGGACUGCUGACUGACAGGUCAGCGGUUUGAGAGCAGAAGAGCUCCCUCUGUCAGCUCCAGCUCCCUAUGUGGGGACAUGAGAGAAGCCUCCUACAAGAAUGGUAAAACAUCAAACAUCUGGGCAUCCCCAGGACAAUGUCCUUGCAGAUGGCCAAUUCUCUCACACCAGAAGUGACGUGCAGUUUCUCAAGUUGCUCCUGACAUGAAAAAAAUUAUUAUAAUACUAGCUGUGCCCGGCCACGUGUUGUUGUGGUGUUGUCUGGUGGUGUUGGUGAGAACUCGUUGAGGUAGUGGUGGUAUUGAAUAUCUGUUGUAUGGUUGCCUUUAUGUUUAGUAUGCAUUUGGUUGUUUGUGUACUGUGAUAGAGGGGGUGUAUGUCCCUGUGUAGUAUUGUAUAGUAUUUAUACGCUGUCCAUGUGUUGUGAAUGCUUGGAUUUUGUGCUGCUGCAUAAUAGAAAGGGUUGGGCUGGAUGGCCCUUAGGGGUCUCUCCAAACUCUUGGAUUCUAUGCUUCUAUUAUUAUCAUCAUAAUCAUCAUCAUCAUCAUCAUCAUCUUCAUCAUCAUCAUUAUGUAGAGGCUGGAUGGCCAUCUGUCAGGAGGGCUUGGAUUGUGUCCUCCUGCAUGGUAGAAGGAAGUUGGACUGGACGGCCUUUAGGGGUGUCUCCUAACUGUGUGAUGCUAUGAUUCGAAUUGGAUUAUUACUGUGCAGAUCUUGGAUGGCCAUCUGUCAGGAGUGCUUGGUUUGUGUCAUCCUGCAUGGUAGAAGGAAGUUGAACUGGAUGAUCCUUAGGGGUG
This 1087-nucleotide long non-coding RNA is filed under the name Anolis carolinensis (green anole). Its description in RNAcentral is "lncRNA (ENSACAG00000033762.2)". Lineage: Eukaryota; Metazoa; Chordata; Lepidosauria; Squamata; Anolidae. The record is from RNAcentral.